GACGAACGCUGGCGGCGUGCCUAAUACAUGCAAGUCGAACGCUUCUUUCCUCCCGAGUGCUUGCCCUCAAUUGGAAAGAGGAGUGGCGGACGGGUGAGUAACACGUGGGUAACCUACCCAUCAGAGGGGGAUAACACUUGGAAACAGGUGCUACUACCGCAUAACAGUUUAUGCCGCAUGGCAUAAGAGUGAAAGGCGCUUUCGGGUGUCGCUGAUGGAUGGACCCGCGGUGCAUUAGCUAGUUGGUGAGGUAACGGCUCACCAAGGCCACGAUGCAUAGCCGACCUGAGAGGGUGAUCGGCGACACUGGGACUGAGACGCGGCACAGACUCCUACGGGAGGCAGCAGUAGGGAAUCUUCGGCAAUGGACGAAAGUCUGACCGAGCAACGCCGCGUGAGUGAAGAAGGUUUUCGGAUCGUAAAACUCUGUUGUUAGAGAAGAACAAGGACGUUAGUAACUGAACGUCCCCUGACGGUAUCUAACCAGAAAGCCACGGCUAACUACGUG
This 508-nucleotide ribosomal RNA is filed under the name uncultured bacterium. RNAcentral describes it as "partial 16S ribosomal RNA". It matches the Rfam family "Bacterial small subunit ribosomal RNA", at positions 28 to 507 of the family's 1533-position model. The record is from RNAcentral.